Molecule: long non-coding RNA, 2703 nt
Organism: Spinacia oleracea (spinach)
Lineage: Eukaryota; Viridiplantae; Streptophyta; Magnoliopsida; Caryophyllales; Amaranthaceae
Exons: 6
Source: RefSeq, a predicted model, not a curated record
CGACAUACUUUGCCUAAAAAAAACUUCCUCCUUUCUCUAUUGCUUCUCUGCUGCCCUACUUUCUCCAACUCCCCUACGCGUCGCACUUGAGUUAUCAGAUGACCGACAUCAACCAUCAUCGGAACCAAAACCACUGGCACGCCAUGUUACCACCGGUCACAGGUACUUCAUAUCAUCCUUUUCUUAUUUGAAACCCUAACUUGAUAAAUUGCCCCAAUUCCAAUUAUUCUGCACAAUUUCGCAAUUUUCUUACUGAAUUUUUGUGUAGUUUUGUUGUUUAUGUCACAGUAAUAGUUUUUAAAAUUGUUCAUUUUUCAUCGAAAUACGCCGAAUACUUGUUUGGUUGAUUGUUGAUUUAUUUGAUAUAAUUAUGUGUAGUUCAAUAUCAUUAUAAUUCUAGUAUACUUAGAAGAUUGGGUGGAAGAUUCGAUGUUCUUGGUACUCUUUGCGGUAUAUUAGAGAAUUCAGUUUUAUUGGAAGGGGAUCAGAUUGAAAGUUGGAGAGGUCAUUCGUGUAUUACCAAUACAUUUCAUAUUUUAUCAUCUUUGAGUUGUUGGCAUCUAGGCCAUAUCAGCAAAAUGAAUGAAGAAGACAAGUAGUCGUCCGCGUGGUGGUAGCUAGCAGGCUGUACCCCUAUCUCUUCGUGUUGCUUAGUAUAGUAAUUGAGUUAUUAGUUUGCAUUUUACAUUUAUAUUGCAAUCAUGGUUGCUGGUUAGUUCUUUUAGAUGGCUAAAAGUAUAAAUGUAGAUUAAUUUUUCAAUUAAAAGACAUUCAACAACUCAAAGAUGAUAAAAUAUGAAAUUUAUUGGUAAUUAUGAUACAUAGUUGCAGGUAUAAAAAAAAUAUCUUUCAUAGUUUAGGUUAGCUUUUUAGAUGUUAUAUGGAUAUUUACUUUUCAAGAGUUUCUGUUCAAUAGUGUCAAGUGCAGGUACCUUUCAUUAUGAUGUAAUCUAGAUCGAGGAAAUUCAUGGUUAUGGAUUUUAUGCCUUUUGGUCUCAUAAACCUUCACAGUCCCUAAUUGGCAAAUACUGAAAAGGUUUUGGCUGUGUGUGCUAUUCGCAAGCUCAUUGAUGAUAAUUAGAGGGCAUAUUAUGAUCAGUUAAUAUUUCAAUGCCAAACUAUAUUUCCCAAUCCCUAUUUUAUUUCUAUUGAUUGCUUAUUUCUUAGUCCUUUAUUUACUAUUUUUAUUUUCCAGUUAGUACUUAAGUUAGCUAGUUCAUAAAUUCUCAAAACAGGGGUUUCUAACUUUCAUUAGAAAUAGUUUGAUAAAUCCAAUUUUAAGUGGGAUCAACCCUAGCUUUCCCUACUACACUAUUAGGAGGUUAGAGUUGGGUUAUUGUUGGUAGGAACGUGACAUUCGUACCAAAACUCAAGUCACCACUAAGGUACGUUGUAAGCUUGCUUUCUUACAUAGUCUUUUUUCUUUUCGGCUACAAACAACGGGAGAGUCAAUCACUCUAGAUUCAUUGUAUUGUGGAUAUUUCUAAAGCAGGUCUUACACCUUGUUCUCCUCUGACCCUUCAGUGUAUACAGGUGGGGACAAAUUUGAGAGUAAUAUUCAUGCUUGAGAAUUCUGAUGAGAAGAUAUUCCUUAAGAGACAUUUUAGAUCUUUAAGCUCGCUGCUUCAAUUAAUGGCCUGCGCAAAAGCUAGUUCCGUGAAGAUAUGCAAAUUCCACAAGCAAUAUAGGAAUCAGGGAUGACUUUCACUUGCCGAGUUCUUGUUCUGCACUAAAAUAAAGGGCUCUCAAGAAGUAUGGAGUUUCUGAUGGGAAGGUUAGAGUUUCAAACUUGCUGAUUUGCUAUUAAUAGUGCCUCAUAUGCAGAUAUGUGUCAUGGCCGAUUCUUUCCCCGAGAAUGGCGAAGAGGCUUUUGCAUUGGUCCCUUCACUCAAGGCCAAGAAAAACUGAUCAAUGAACCACUUGAAAAGAUCAUAUCUCAACUGGGUACAUUGAACCAGGGAUUGUGAAGCUACAUACAGUUGUGCUAAGAGAAUUGAUAUAAAUGUGAACUAAUAUUCGAAGAUUGAUAAAGGACAACCUUCUGGGAAGAGACAAAGAACAUGGUACAUUGAAGGAAGAAAUUAUGGAGACUCUUUAAUAUCUCAAAUUUAUGAGUGGGAAGCUUCUUCUAUAACUAUAACAAUAUAACGAUAGUUGCGACAACAAAAAUAUACCAAACUUGCUGACUGAGAAUACAUAAAUACAUGUGAUGAAAAAGCUCUAGACUCUUUACAAGUAUACCGGAAGCAUGAUGAUCGUUAUAUUGUGAAGCUGGUUGUGAUAAAGAUUGAAGAUGUAUACUAGAACAGGGUACAUUGAAGGAAGAAAUUGUGGAGACUCUUAAAAAUCUCAAAUUUAUGAGUGGGAAGCUUCUGCUAUAACUAUAACAAAACAUCGGCAGUUGCGACAACAAAAAUAUCUUGCUGGUUGGGAAUACAUAAACACCUGUGAUGAAAAAGCUCUAGACUCGUUACAAGCAUCUCAGAAGCAUGACGAUCGUUAUAUUGUGAAGUUGGUCGUGAUAAAGAUUGAAGGUUGUCUUUUUCCUUUGUCUUUUUUCCCCUAUUAAGUUCUUAAUGUUGUGUAUAGUUAGGAGUUGCUAUUUAUAAUUUUGAUCAAGAAACAAGUUUGAGGACCGCAUUUGUAUAUCUCUAUGUUUGCUGCAACAUUAUUACAUUACCCAUCCUGAUAUUUUUUUGUAAA